RNAcentral lists this ribosomal RNA (514 nucleotides) under uncultured archaeon. Its description in RNAcentral is "bacterial SSU rRNA". It matches the Rfam family "Archaeal small subunit ribosomal RNA", at positions 325 to 841 of the family's 1478-position model. The record is from RNAcentral.
ACGGGGUGCAGCAGGCGCGAAACCUCCUCAAUGCACUUACGUGCGAAGGGGCUACCUCGAGUGCCACCUGAUGAAGGUGGCUUUUCCUAGGUCUAAAAAGCCUUGGGAAUAAGAGGGGGGCAAGACUGGUGUCAGCCGCCGCGGUAACACCAGCCCCUCGAGUGGUGGGGAUGAUUAUUGGGCCUAAAGCGUCCGUAGCCUGCCGUAUAAGUUUCCCGUUAAAUCCAGCGUCUUAAGCGUUGGACUGCGGGAAAUACUGUACGGCUAGAGAGUGGGAGAGGUCAGCGGUAUUCUGGGGGUAGGGGCGAAAUCCUUUGAUCCCCGGAGGACCACCAGUGGCGAAGGCUGCUGACUAGAACACGUCUGACGGUCAGGGACGAAAGCUGGGGUAGCGAACCGGAUUAGAUACCCGGGUAGUCCCAGCCGUAAACGAUGCAUGCUAGGUGUUGGGUUGGCCACGAGCCACCCCAGUGCCGCAGGGAAGCCGUUAAGCAUGCCGCCUGGGAAGUACGAU